UGCGCCGUGGGCGCCGGGCCGGGAGGCGGGCGAGGAGGCAGCGCGCAUCACUCGGGUCCCCUUCCUGCACCCAGCCGCCACUUGCCGGUUGCUAAGCAGUUAUCAUUGUUUCUGUGGCGAUUGCAGAGGCUGUUGCUAAUUGGAGAAGCCCCACUAAGCAGCGGCAGCUUCCUGCUUCGGAUCCUCUCUCUGCUGCUUGCAUUUAAAGAGCAAACUCGUCUUGUCUACCCACCCUCCCUCCCCCAUCCUCCCCAAAAUAGCCUUGUGAUUUCGGAAGUAUGGACUAAAAUCACACUCCUCCUUACCUUGCCGCUUGGACUCUGGUGGCUCCCAACUCGCCGUCAGACCCCACCUGCCCCGGUGGUGGGAAGCGCCUGGACACACCAUGACCACAGCCAAGGAGCCAAGCGCUUCGGGGAAAUCCGUGCAGCAGCAGGAACAGGAGCUGGUGGGGAGUAACCCUCCGCAGAGGAAUUGGAAAGGAAUAGCGAUUGCACUGCUUGUCAUUCUGGUCAUCUGCUCCUUGAUCGUCACCUCGGUCAUACUUCUGACACCAGCGGAAGAUAAUAGUCUGUCUCAAAAGAAGAAGGUCACUGUGGAAGAUCUCUUCAGUGAAGACUUCAAAAUUCAUGACCCCGAGGCUAAGUGGAUAAGUGGUGAGUCCAGGUCCUUCGUGCACGAGACAUCGCUUCCCCAUGCCUCACCCCCACUUUCAAUAGGUUGGGUCUAGUAAUUUGCCUCUCGGAUUUCCCCCUUUGGCCACAGAAGGGGAUCUACAGAGCUUUUGCGGUAGUCAUCAUCAGAUUAUCAUUCUAUGAAAAUGUGUAUCUGGUAAAAUCAGGCUUUUGUAAUGGUGUUGCCUCCCGAGCAUCCACACAGCCUUCACUUAGUGAGAAAUGGGUCUGCUGAAGACGUGUCUUUGUGUGCCACCUCCCAGAGACAUCAUUUCUCCGGGGGAGCUGUGGGGUGUUGCUUAGCAACAGGAACAGUGCAGGGCACGGUGAGCUUUCCUUCCUUCUCCACAAUCUUCAUUCCCCUUUGUUCUCUUGCUCUCUUUCCGUUAGGCAGAAGGACCAAAAGCAACUCAUGGAGUUCUUGUAGAAUAGCUUCCAAAUGAAACUUGGAGUGCUGUACACAGAUGCAGAUUCAUUUAUUUUCCCUGUUGAACUUUAAUUUGGAUUAAAUCUACUUUCCUUGUAUGGGGGAUUUUUUUCUUAAAACAACAGAACAAAAUACAGUUGGGGGCAGAAGGCAUAUGUUCACAAUGCCUGUGUUGGUUCAUAACAUAAUCUAUUUCUUCUAAUUGGGUCUGAAAUAAUUCAAGUGCAACCAUGGAAGAUGUACCCAUCCCUCCGCAGGCCAAGUUGCCAGCACCUCCCUGUUGUCUCUAUUGCUGUUGCUGACAUUUAAUCUUUGCUUCAGUGGAAUACACUUGAAGGUUUGUCCUCAGGUCAGAGAACUUUAUAGUGAUCAAAGUCUAGUUCAGAUCCUUGCUUUUAUAAUAAAUGAGGUCCAGAGAGGUCAAGUGACU
Molecule: small RNA, 1531 nt
Filed under: Pan troglodytes (chimpanzee)
Lineage: Eukaryota; Metazoa; Chordata; Mammalia; Primates; Hominidae
Description: retained intron
Source: RNAcentral